GACAACAUCAACAACACUCUGCUUGCUUCUCACCCAAGUUUUACCCCUUCACAUAUGUAUUUUUCCUUCAACCUAUUCUUAGAUUGCUCUUUCGACUCUACAAAGGUAUGUGAAACCAGAUUACCACACCUGAUAAAGAAUAUAAACACAGCAGAGGUGGAGCCUAUUUUUCCUUUCCUCCAAUCAGAAUUGAACCUGAAACUCACUUUGGUCAACAGAACUUUAGCAGACGUGAGUUUCCAGGCAAAAUGAGAGCAGAAAAACAAAGCCAUUUGAACAAAGGGAAGCAACAGUUUUUGUUGUACGUAAUUCAUUCUCUGUAUGAUGUUUCCUUCUCAAGGAGGAAUUUAGCUCCAAGUUAUACUCAAGAAGAGAAAAAAGGAAAAGUUCCAGCAAGCUUUAGGGCUCUUUAUCCACCUUUGUGAAGGAAGAUUGACAGCACCCUCUCUCUUUGUUACAAAAUUGUUCACGCAGCUCCGUGGUCCCUGCGAAGAGCCGGCUGUCAACUGUUGUGGCCUUUCAGAGCCGGGCUUUUUCCUCCGUGGCCAGCUUUUUCACCCACAGUUAGCCACCAGGGGGCCGCCUGUUUGGAAUAAAUGGUGCAGACUCCCCAGCUUUCCUCCAAACCAACCAAAACAUCCCGGGGCAGCUUUGGAGCAAAGCCCGGGAACUUCCCUGCAAAGGAGAACAACUUCUCUCCAGCUACAAAAACUGCAAGUCCUAUGGUGCAGCCUCAUUACGAGGGAAGAAUAAAGCACGGAGUUAGAGGCAAGGACCCAGGGGAAACAGGGUCCGUGGAGUCUGAAGGAAGAGAUCCUUCCCUCUCACCAGGGGGCCGCGAGGUCUGCGAUUUUUCCUCUUGAAGCGCGCUGAAACACUGCAUCCAGGCGCCGGGAACAAUUCUAGGCUUCUUGACAGUUGUGGUUGUUAAUGCUGUCAGCAGGGGUGGUGGCUUCUCGCCCCUUUCCGUGAGAUGCUCACAAGAAGCUGUAAUAAAACAUACGUCACCGGCUGGAAAUCUAGAAAACUCUCCAAUAAAUCAUCUAUACGUUGUUCAGACAGUUGAGGCUACAAAUCGUCAUAGGUCUAUUAAUUGUUUCUUAUACGAAUAAAUGUGUGUAUUGAAGGAGAAAGUCGGAAUUAUUUUAAUAUCAUCGAUGAGAAAAUAAUUACACUCUGUCGUCAAAAUAGUU
RNAcentral lists this long non-coding RNA (1193 nucleotides) under Equus caballus (horse). Its description in RNAcentral is "lncRNA (ENSECAG00000053274.1)". The record is from RNAcentral. Lineage: Eukaryota; Metazoa; Chordata; Mammalia; Perissodactyla; Equidae.